AUUGAACGCUGGCGGCAUGCUUUACACAUGCAAGUCGAACGGUAACAGGUCUUCGGAUGCUGACGAGUGGCGAACGGGUGAGUAAUGUAUCGGAACGUGCCCAGUAGUGGGGGAUAACUACUCGAAAGAGUGGCUAAUACCGCAUGAGAACUGAGGUUGAAAGCGGGGACCUUCGGGCCUCGCGCUACUGGAGCGGCCGAUAUCAGAUUAGGUAGUUGGUGGGGUAAAGGCCUACCAAGCCGACGAUCUGUAGCUGGUCUGAGAGGACGACCAGCCACACUGGGACUGAGACACGGCCCAGACUCCUACGGGAGGCAGCAGUGGGGAAUUUUGGACAAUGGACGCAAGUCUGAUCCAGCAAUGCCGCGUGCAGGACGAAGGCCUUCGGGUUGUAAACUGCUUUUGUACAGAACGAAAAGGCUCUGGUUAAUACCUGGGGCGUCAUGACGGUACUGUAAGAAUAAGCACCGGCUAACUACGUGCCACGCAGCCGAC
Molecule: ribosomal RNA, 495 nt
Filed under: uncultured bacterium
Lineage: Bacteria
Description: bacterial SSU rRNA
Rfam family: Bacterial small subunit ribosomal RNA
Source: RNAcentral